GAGUUUGAUCCUGGCUCAGGACGAACGCUGGCGGCGCGCCUAACACAUGCAAGUCGAACGAGCGAGAGAGAGCUUGCUUUCUCAAGCGAGUGGCGAACGGGUGAGUAACGCGUGAGGAACCUGCCUCAAAGAGGGGGACAACAGUUGGAAACGACUGCUAAUACCGCAUAAGCCCACGGUGCCGCAUGGCACAGAGGGAAAAGGAGCAAUCCGCUUUGAGAUGGCCUCGCGUCCGAUUAGCUAGUUGGUGAGGUAAUGGCCCACCAAGGCGACGAUCGGUAGCCGGACUGAGAGGUUGAACGGCCACAUUGGGACUGAGACACGGCCCAGACUCCUACGGGAGGCAGCAGUGGGGAAUAUUGCACAAUGGGGGAAACCCUGAUGCAGCGACGCCGCGUGGAGGAAGAAGGUCUUCGGAUUGUAAACUCCUGUUGUUGAGGAAGAUAAUGACGGUACUCAACAAGGAAGUGACGGCUAACUACGUGCCAGCAGCCGCGGUAAAACGUAGGUCACAAGCGUUGUCCGGAAUUACUGGGUGUAAAGGGAGCGCAGGCGGGAAGACAAGUUGGAAGUGAAAUCUAUGGGCUCAACCCAUAAACUGCUUUCAAAACUGUUUUUCUUGAGUAGUGCAGAGGUAGGCGGAAUUCCCGGUGUAGCGGUGGAAUGCGUGGAUAUCGGGAGGAACACCAGUGGCGAAGGCGGCCUACUGGGCACCAACUGACGCUGAGGCUCGAAAGUGUGGGUAGCAAACAGGAUUAGAUACCCUGGUAGUCCACACCGUAAACGAUGAUUACUAGGUGUUGGAGGAUUGACCCCUUCAGUGCCGCAGUUAACACAAUAAGUAAUCCACCUGGGGAGUACGACCGCAAGGUUGAAACUCAAAGGAAUUGACGGGGGCCCGCACAAGCAGUGGAGUAUGUGGUUUAAUUCGACGCAACGCGAAGAACCUUACCAAGUCUUGACAUCCCUUGACGAUGCUGGAAACAGUAUUUCUCUUCGGAGCAAGGAGACAGGUGGUGCAUGGUUGUCGUCAGCUCGUGUCGUGAGAUGUUGGGUUAAGUCCCGCAACGAGCGCAACCCUUAUGGUCAGUUACUACGCAAGAGGACUCUGGCCAGACUGCCGUUGACAAAACGGAGGAAGGUGGGGAUGACGUCAAAUCAUCAUGCCCUUUAUGACUUGGGCUACACACGUACUACAAUGGCGUUAAACAAAGAGAAGCAAGACCGCGAGGUGGAGCAAAACUCAGAAACAACGUCCCAGUUCGGACUGCAGGCUGCAACUCGCCUGCACGAAGUCGGAAUUGCUAGUAAUCGCAGAUCAGCAUGCUGCGGUGAAUACGUUCCCGGGCCUUGUACACACCGCCCGUC
Molecule: ribosomal RNA, 1368 nt
Filed under: uncultured bacterium
Lineage: Bacteria
Description: bacterial SSU rRNA
Rfam family: Bacterial small subunit ribosomal RNA
Source: RNAcentral